This 503-nucleotide ribosomal RNA is filed under the name uncultured bacterium. Its description in RNAcentral is "partial 16S ribosomal RNA". It matches the Rfam family "Bacterial small subunit ribosomal RNA", at positions 30 to 523 of the family's 1533-position model. The record is from RNAcentral.
AUUGAACGCUGGCGGCAGGCUUAACACAUGCAAGUCGAGCGGGGUGAUGGUGCUUGCACUAUCACUUAGCGGCGGACGGGUGAGUAAUGCUUAGGAAUCUGCCUAUUAGUGGGGGACAACAUCUCGAAAGGGAUGAUAAUACCGCAUACGUCCUACGGGAGAAAGCAGGGGAUCACUUGUGACCUUGCGCUAAUAGAGGAGCCUAAGUCGGAUUAGCUAGUUGGUGGGGUAAAGGCCUACCAAGGCGACGAUCUGUAGCGGGUCUGAGAGGAUGGUCCGACACACUGGGACUGAGACACGGCCCAGCCUCCCGCGGGAGGCAGCAGUGAGGAAUAUUGGACAAAGGGGGGAACCCUGAUCCAACCAUGGCGCGUGUGUGAAGAAGGCCUUAUGGUUGUAAAGCACUUUAAGCGAGGAGGAGGCUCUUUUGGUUAAGACCCUAGAUGAGUGGACGUUACUCGCAGAAUAAGCACCGGCUAACUCUGUGCCAGCCGCCGCCGUAA